RNAcentral lists this ribosomal RNA (426 nucleotides) under Salmonella enterica. Its description in RNAcentral is "partial 23S ribosomal RNA". It matches the Rfam family "Bacterial large subunit ribosomal RNA", at positions 114 to 580 of the family's 2925-position model. Lineage: Bacteria; Pseudomonadati; Pseudomonadota; Gammaproteobacteria; Enterobacterales; Enterobacteriaceae. RNAcentral also lists the same sequence under 7 other names. The record is from RNAcentral.
CCGAAUGGGGAAACCCAGUGUGAUUCGUCACACUAUCAUUAACUGAAUCCAUAGGUUAAUGAGGCGAACCGGGGGAACUGAAACAUCUAAGUACCCCGAGGAAAAGAAAUCAACCGAGAUUCCCCCAGUAGCGGCGAGCGAACGGGGAGGAGCCCAGAGCCUGAAUCAGCAUGUGUGUUAGUGGAAGCGUCUGGAAAGGUGCGCGAUACAGGGUGACAGCCCCGUACACAAAAGCGCAUGUGCUGUGAGCUCGAUGAGUAGGGCGGGACACGUGGUAUCCUGUCUGAAUAUGGGGGGACCAUCCUCCAAGGCUAAAUACUCCUGACUGACCGAUAGUGAACCAGUACCGUGAGGGAAAGGCGAAAAGAACCCCGGCGAGGGGAGUGAAAAAGAACCUGAAACCGUGUACGUACAAGCAGUGGGAGC